Molecule: long non-coding RNA, 439 nt
Filed under: Vigna radiata
Lineage: Eukaryota; Viridiplantae; Streptophyta; Magnoliopsida; Fabales; Fabaceae
Description: long non-coding RNA (VRAD_LNC009180)
Source: RNAcentral
CGCAGUGCCAGGGCUCAUGGGGGGAUGCAUCACGAUUUUGAGGCUUUUUAUGCUCAUUCUUAGCUUGUGAUUUGGAGUUGUUCUUGUGUUUCUAUUUCUUCUCUGCAGGUUGGCAGCUAUAGGUUGAGGGUUUUGAUCUUGUAAUUUGGGGGUUUGAUUUUAGGGUUUCUGAAUUUGGGAAUUUUUCUUUGGGGUUUUUUUUUCUUGGUUUUUUUUUUAUGUUGCGAUUCAAAGGAGUUGGGAUCUUUGUUUUCAAAUUGGAUUUUGGGGGUUUCCUGUACUUGUGUUCUUCCCAAUCUUGCAGAUCUGUCUCCCAAAUCACGAUUAAUCUUUCAAACAACAAUAUCCUUAAUUUAAUUUUAAAAACCUUAAUUUAAUUUUGAAAAGAAUUGGGAUCGUCCAUGUCUUGAUCCAAGAAUGGGAUGAAGAUUGGUUAAGC